UCCUGGUAUCCAUGAUGAGUUUAUUUAUGCUGAGCGUCACCAUAACAUGGAUAUGUAUACUGAUUCUCUUACCAAAAUUAAGUUCAAUAAUAGUGUUUAACAACUCAAUCUUAAAUAUAAUAAAUGUAAAUUAACAAAUUUUGGGAUAAUUGUCACAAGAUCAUAGGUUUCAUAAAACAAACUUGCAUUUAAGAUUUUUAUAGUAUCUUCAAUUCCUUGAAAUUGGAAUUUUUCCUCCUCCUUUUUUUUCAAUUGUUCAACAACAACAGUAACGAAUGCACAUAAACAAUCCUAACUAUUCCAUAUUUUUGCUUUUCCUUUUGAUAUUUAGCAUUGAUCUGUAUAGAAAAAUGUGCUAAUGCUAGUUGUUAAUGAAAUUUCUAAUAAAAACAAAAAUGACUUGAAAAUAAAUAGUUAGUUUAAUAUGUA
This 429-nucleotide long non-coding RNA is filed under the name Mytilus galloprovincialis (Mediterranean mussel). Lineage: Eukaryota; Metazoa; Mollusca; Bivalvia; Mytilida; Mytilidae. The record is from RNAcentral.